GUAGGGAAGGACGAACAAGGGCAAAUAGGUAAUUCUAAUAUUAACUUUGGGAUAAUUCCUAAUGUAAAUAGUACAUUAUAAUGGGCCCAUCUGUCAUAGAUAUAUGACCUACUCUAUUAACACGUGUAUUGCUCUUUAUUUCUCAAGAAACACGUGUGCUACUAAUUGUGUUGUCUUUUUCAUUGGAACAUUUAACAAAAAACUUGUGUAAAGUGAGCUUAUUGUUCUUCUUCUGGGAAUGAUUUCUACCGUCCCUUCAGUUUUAAAUCCCUUUCCCACUGGUAUUAUACCUUUUCCUGCCAGUGUAGAACCUAGCAGAUAUCGAUUAAUCUAAUUUUAUGUUAUUUUUAUUUUGCCUUUAGGUCAAUUUUUCAUUGGAUUGGUUUGAAUUUUCUUUCAAUUUUGUUGAUUUCUUGGGUAUUUAGGGUUGUUAUACCGUUCCAUGCACUACAUUUUAGAGUUCAUUGUAAUUUGUAGCACUGGCCGUUUUUCUCCUUCUCCUCUCCGACUUGCCUAUUUACAAAUUUGUAUUUAAUAUAAUAAUUUCUCCUAUUCAGGUCUAUUACUUCAAGGAGAUAGGGGAGAAUUGCAAGCAUGAGAUGCCGGAAUGGAGCAGAAGCUUGAAAUUCAAACAAUCUAUCAAAUUUUUAUAUCGUUAUACAUCAGUUUACAGGCUAGCUUCCUGGUACGUAUGAAUGACAAGACUCAAAUUGGACAUAGAAGACGGUUUCCAUGUUCUAAGGUAUGA
This is a long non-coding RNA of Solanum tuberosum (potato), 748 nucleotides long. RefSeq lists it as uncharacterized. The record is from RefSeq and is a predicted model, not a curated record. The transcript is spliced from 2 exons. NCBI's taxonomy places the organism in Eukaryota, Viridiplantae, Streptophyta, Magnoliopsida, Solanales, Solanaceae.